RNAcentral lists this transfer RNA (78 nucleotides) under Candidatus Hodgkinia cicadicola. RNAcentral describes it as "tRNA-Gly". It matches the Rfam family "tRNA". Rfam says of the family: Transfer RNA (tRNA) molecules are approximately 80 nucleotides in length. Their secondary structure includes four short double-helical elements and three loops (D, anti-codon, and T loops). Lineage: Bacteria; Pseudomonadati; Pseudomonadota; Alphaproteobacteria; Hyphomicrobiales. The record is from RNAcentral.
AGCGGAUAUAGCUUAAUAAGGCUAUAGCAUAACCUUGCCAAGGUUGGAAUUGGGUGUUCAAAUCACCUUAUUCGCUUC